Molecule: long non-coding RNA, 306 nt
Filed under: Homo sapiens (human)
Lineage: Eukaryota; Metazoa; Chordata; Mammalia; Primates; Hominidae
Description: long non-coding RNA NONHSAT253946
Source: RNAcentral
ACUGCUGUAGAUGUCACCCAGGAACAGAAAAUAACUAGCCUCGUGAGAAAGUUUUGAAUGGGCAAAAGGGAAAUUGAAUACAAUUGUUUUUUGCUUGCACCAUAUAGAGGCGUAUUCUUUCUAUGUACAGUGAUAGGAAACUGGUGGUGUUUGACAUCAUCCAAAAACAGGGCCCAUUUUUUGAAUCAUAAAUUAUCUUCAUGAACACACCCAUUGCCUUCAACAUACAGCCUAAGUCUCAUACUUUCUAAAAUAUCUCCGGUACCUGCUCCAGUUCUCAGUGAUCACCAAUUCCUUUGUCCUCCA